This 932-nucleotide long non-coding RNA is filed under the name Homo sapiens (human). Its description in RNAcentral is "non-protein coding lnc-ACAP3-2:7". The record is from RNAcentral. Lineage: Eukaryota; Metazoa; Chordata; Mammalia; Primates; Hominidae.
GGGUCAACUGCUACAUGCCGGCCAAUGGCGAGACGGUGACGCUGCCCACAAGCCCCAGCAUCCCCGUAGGCAUCUCGCUGGGGCUGCUGAAGCGGGAGAUGGCGCAGGGUAUGCGGGCUGGGCAGGGCAGGGCAGGGUGCUCGGGGCAGGCGGCUGGGAGCGGCCCUCACAUUGAUGGCUCCUGCCACCUCCUCCGCAGGGCUGCUCCCUGAGGCCAAGAAGCCUCGGCUCCUGCACGGCACCCUGAUCAUGAAGGACAGCGUGAGUGCCAGGACGGUCUCUGGAGGGGGGAGGGCCGCUGCUGCGCUCACUGACCUGUCCCUGCCCCACAGAACUUCCGGCUGGUGUCCUCAGAGCAAGCCCUCAAAGAGCUGGGUCUGGCUGAGCACCAGCUGCGCUUCACCUGCCGCGUGCACCUGCAUGACACACGCAAGGAGCAGGAGACGGCAUUGCGCGUCUACAGCCACCUCAAGAGCGUCCUGAAGGACCACUGUGUGCAGCACCUCCCAGACGGCUCUGUGACUGUGGAGUCCGUCCUCCUCCAGGCCGCCGCCCCUUCUGAGGACCCAGGCACCAAGGUGCUGCUGGUCUCCUGGACCUACCAGGACGAGGAGCUGGGGAGCUUCCUCACAUCUCUGCUGAAGAAGGGCCUCCCCCAGGCCCCCAGCUGAGGCCGGCAACUCACCCAGCCGCCACCUCUGCCCUCUCCCAGCUGGACAGACCCUGGGCCUGCACUUCAGGACUGUGGGUGCCCUGGGUGAACAGACCCUGCAGGUCCCAUCCCUGGGGACAGAGGCCUUGUGUCACCUGCCUGCCCAGGCAGCUGUUUGCAGCUGAAGAAACAAACUGGUCUCCAGGCUGUCUUGCCUUUAUUCCUGGUUAGGGCAGGUGGUCCUAGACAGCAGUUUCCAGUAAAAGCUGAACAAAAGACU